RNAcentral lists this ribosomal RNA (491 nucleotides) under uncultured bacterium. Its description in RNAcentral is "partial 16S ribosomal RNA". It matches the Rfam family "Bacterial small subunit ribosomal RNA", at positions 29 to 507 of the family's 1533-position model. The record is from RNAcentral.
AGUGAACGCUGGCGGUAGGCCUAACACAUGCAAGUCGAACGGCAGCACAGUAAGAGCUUGCUCUUACGGGUGGCGAGUGGCGGACGGGUGAGGAAUACAUCGGAAUCUACUUUUCGUGGGGGAUAACGUAGGGAAACUUACGCUAAUACCGCAUACGACCUACGGGUGAAAGCAGGGGAUCUUCGGACCUUGCGCGAUUGAAUGAGCCGAUGUCGGAUUAGCUAGUUGGCGGGGUAAAGGCCCACCAAGGCGACGAUCCGUAGCUGGUCUGAGAGGAUGAUCAGCCACACUGGAACUGAGACACGGUCCAGACUCCUACGGGAGGCAGCAGUGGGGAAUAUUGGACAAUGGGCGCAAGCCUGAUCCAGCCAUACCGCGUGGGUGAAGAGGGCCUUCGGGUUGUAAAGCCCUUUUGUUGGGAAAGAAAAGCAGCAGGUUAAUACCCCGCUGUUCUGACGGUACCCAAAGAAUAAGCACCGGCUAACUUCGUG